RNAcentral lists this long non-coding RNA (201 nucleotides) under Gossypium barbadense (sea-island cotton). RNAcentral describes it as "long non-coding RNA (GBAR_LNC014930)". Lineage: Eukaryota; Viridiplantae; Streptophyta; Magnoliopsida; Malvales; Malvaceae. The record is from RNAcentral.
GGUGCAUACUAGUAGUAAUAGCCGCAAGAAGUCGAGACUCGAAGAGGUGUCCCCUUAAAUUAGGGAGAGCAACAGAAAUAGGUUGUCCCACCACGAUCCGAGCAGACAACCUAUUCUCCUAGAGGAAGAAUCCACUUUCCCUUUCUAACGGUAAACUUCCCAACAUGUCCUCAUGUUAAGUCCGCCAUUGUUGCGGACCCC